Cygnus olor (mute swan) is the source of this 2315-nucleotide long non-coding RNA. RefSeq lists it as uncharacterized. NCBI's taxonomy places the organism in Eukaryota, Metazoa, Chordata, Aves, Anseriformes, Anatidae. The transcript has 8 exons. The record is from RefSeq and is a predicted model, not a curated record.
AGGGGCUGGAGGCUGCAGCACCUCUGGGGCCCAGCUGAGGGGCUCUGGGGUCUUCAGAGCAUUGGGGCCAGGCUCGCAGCAGCUCUGGGGCCAUUGGAGGCUCUGGGGCCAGGCCUGUGGCCGCUGUGGGGCCAGGCUGGGGGCUCUGGGGGUGUCUUUGGGGCUGCGGGGUUCUGGGACCAGUUCUGGCAGCGCCAUUUCAUCCCUGUGUGUUCUGGCUGCAAGGUCUUUGUGGGAUGCUGUCCUGCACUGUGUGGGCAGCGGUGACCGUCCCUGCUCUUCCCCUGAAUCACAGAAUCACUGAAUGGUUUGGGUUGGAAGGGGCUUAAAGAUUCCCUAACUCCAACCCACCGGAUCAGGUUGGCCAAGGCCCCAUCCAGCCUCACCUUGAGCCCCUUCAGGGCACCCACAGUGUCUCCGUGCAGCCUGUCCCAGUGCCUCACACCCCCAAAGCGAAGAAUUCCUCCUAAUGCCCGGUCCAAUUCUGUCCUCUUUUAACUUAAGACCGCAUUUAAUGGGAUCUCGACCUGCCUGGUGGGAUCUGGAGCUGUGGGUUUGCAAGCCCAUCCCAGAAAAGCAAUGAGAAACCUUGCAGCCAUGGGGUUCAGCAGCCUCCUAACUGCCUGGAGGGUGUUUAUUUUUGUCGUUAAAAGGCGAGCAUGUGUUUCUCUUCUAUCCUGCUACUUCUACAGCUGCCUACUGGGGAUUUUAAAUUAUUUUUAUUAUUUUAUAUUUCAUUUAUGUCUGGAGGCCCUUUCAUGCUAGACUCUGUACAAACACAGUCUUCCCUACUGAGUUUACAGUCUAGGCAGACAAUGGAUGAGAGAAAUUAAGUGUUAAUGGCUCCAUUUUAUAGCAGGGAAUUGAGACCUGCUGUUCCAUAGUGUUUGGUCUAGGAUCACGCAGGGAAUGUGUAGGCAAGCUGGGAAGGGAACCAGAUCUCACAGAACCAGAUCUUACAAGCGCCAGUCUCUCUGCUGAGGCGUUUGUCAUCCCUCAGCCUGGUGUUUCUUCAGAGCCUGUGGUGAAGAAGUGAUCAGGACUCAUUGAAAUCUGGAGGAAUUGGUUCACAAAGCCGUGCCACGCCAAGUGCUCUGCUCAGAAAAGUGAACCACGAGGGCAGAGACAGAGCGCAGAGCAAGUGUUAGAAAGUUCAGGCUGGAAUUGAGAAGUUUCUGUAUCGCUUUGGUGCGUUGUCCACCUACUUGCAGGUGUUGGGUAGCCUUUUCUGUGCAGUCAGCCAUGGGCAUGCUUAGAAGAGCACCGAAGUGCCUAGAAAGUUGAAAUGGCAGGACGGGGAGGGUUAACAGAAGCCCUGGUACUACAGAUUGGCUUUGCACUGUUGUCCAGAGCCUGUCAAACGUGGAACCAGUGCUCUUACACAUUUACUUUGCAGGGAAAGCUGGGGGAUGCACAGUGUCCGGAGGCACCACAGCAGUGGAGAGCGCUUCAGCCAGGAGAAGAGACCCCAAAAAAUGGCACUGUGGCAGGGCAGUACUGAUUUGAAGCUAGGGUGAUCAACAAACAGCUCUUGGCAGGAUCAGAAGGAUAUGAUAUGAACUGUUACGAUACACACAAGGUACAUCCUGUGCAGGAAAUACAAGGGAAAAACCAAAGCAGGUGGGACUCCAUCCAGCUUCAUCCAGCUCUGCCCGUGGCCGCACAGAAUAUCACCCACACCGUAUUUCACGUUCUGGCUCACGGAGCUGCGCAAGAACUGCUGGCAAUUCCAGGGAUAAUCCUUUACGUAAGCAGAGCUCCUACAACUGAAGUCCUCAUUUUGUUUGAAGGAGAUUAGCUUUGCAAGACUAUCCCCUGUGAUGCAGUUCUUAUCCCAGAUGCAGAGACCAGGGACACCCUUGGACAACAGUUACCAAGUUUUCUUUGGACAGCUCAGGAUGUGUUUGUGCUGUCGGUGGAGUCAGGGAGAUGGCUUCAGGAACUGAAAGGUGUAAAGGGAACAUCCAGCUGCGACAUCCCUGAAGCUUUAAGUUAUAAUGAAAAUACAUAUGCCUUUGCAAGAAGACAAGAGAGACACAUUUUUCUCUUCAAAGUGGAGAUGUUGUCAAUAAUGGUGAAGGUUCUAUGGUUUCAGUUUUUCCACACAAGAGAAAGUUUGUGGUUAGGAAAGAAAGAUGACAAAUGCUGUCCAGUUUUAUGAGGAGAAAAAAAUUUCCUUCAAUCUGUAUUUUAAAAAUGUUCUCUGUGAUGGUACUCUUGUUAAUCAAAUGCACCUACAUAAACAACUUCAAUUUGUCUACUUCUGCUAUCACUAUUUUAUUUUAUAUAGUGUUUAUUUAAUAAUAAAAAUAUAG